GAUGAACGCUGGCUACAGGCUUAACACAUGCAAGUCGAGGGUAAACGACGGGGAAGCUUGCUUCCCCGGGCGUCGACCGGCGCACGGGUGAGUAACGCGUAUCCAACCUGCCUCUGACUGAGGGAUAACCCGUCGAAAGUCGGCCUAAUACCUCAUGGCAUCGUCUGCGGGCAUCCAACGACGAUUAAAGAUUUCAUCGGUCAGGGAUGGGGAUGCGUCUGAUUAGCUUGUUGGCGGGGUAACGGCCCACCAAGGCUACGAUCAGUAGGGGUUCUGAGAGGAAGGUCCCCCACAUUGGAACUGAGACACGGUCCAAACUCCUACGGGAGGCAGCAGUGAGGAAUAUUGGUCAAUGGGCGGGAGCCUGAACCAGCCAAGUAGCGUGCAGGAUGACGGCCCUAUGGGUUGUAAACUGCUUUUAUGCGGGGAUAAAGUGAGGGACGUGUCCUUCAUUGCAGGUACCGCAUGAAUAAGGACCGGCUAAUUCCGUG
Molecule: ribosomal RNA, 491 nt
Filed under: uncultured bacterium
Lineage: Bacteria
Description: partial 16S ribosomal RNA
Rfam family: Bacterial small subunit ribosomal RNA
Source: RNAcentral